Molecule: transfer RNA, 71 nt
Filed under: Lygodactylus stevensoni (Stevenson's dwarf gecko)
Lineage: Eukaryota; Metazoa; Chordata; Lepidosauria; Squamata; Gekkonidae
Description: tRNA-Tyr
Source: RNAcentral
GGUAGUGUGGCCGAGACAUAGGCGGCGAGCUGUAGCCUCGCCCACUGGGAUUCAACCCACGUUACCAGGCC